UAUGGGGGUCCGACUAAGCCAUGCGAGUCAUGGGGCGCGCUCUGCGCGCACCGGCGGACGGCUCAGUAACACGUCGGUAACCUACCCUCGGGAGGGGGAUAACCCCGGGAAACUGGGGCUAAUCCCCCAUAGGCCUGAGGUACUGGAAGGUCCUCAGGCCGAAAGGGGCAUCUGCCCGCCCGAGGAUGGGCCGGCGGCCGAUUAGGUAGUUGGUGGGGUAACGGCCCACCAAGCCGAAGAUCGGUACGGGCCAUGAGAGUGGGAGCCCGGAGAUGGACACUGAGACACGGGUCCAGGCCCUACGGGGCGCAGCAGGCGCGAAACCUCCGCAAUGCGGGCAACCGCGACGGGGGGACCCCCAGUGCCGUGGCAUCGCCACGGCUUUUCCGGAGUGUAAAAAGCUCCGGGAAUAAGGGCUGGGCAAGGCCGGUGGCAGCCGCCGCGGUAAUACCGGCGGCCCGAGUGGUGGCCGCUAUUAUUGGGCCUAAAGCGUCCGUAGCCGGGCCCGUAAGUCCCUGGCGAAAUCCCACGGCUCAACCGUGGGGCUUGCUGGGGAUACUGCGGGCCUUGGGACCGGGAGAGGCCGGGGGUACCCCUGGGGUAGGGGUGAAAUCCUAUAAUCCCAGGGGGACCGCCAGUGGCGAAGGCGCCCGGCUGGAACGGGUCCGACGGUGAGGGACGA
This 682-nucleotide ribosomal RNA is filed under the name Thermococcus sp. Tc70-SC-S. Its description in RNAcentral is "bacterial SSU rRNA". It matches the Rfam family "Archaeal small subunit ribosomal RNA", at positions 31 to 707 of the family's 1478-position model. Lineage: Archaea; Methanobacteriati; Methanobacteriota; Thermococci; Thermococcales; Thermococcaceae. The record is from RNAcentral.